CUACAAGGAGGAUUCAGAACUGCAGGCAG
Molecule: non-coding RNA, 29 nt
Filed under: Cricetulus griseus (Chinese hamster)
Lineage: Eukaryota; Metazoa; Chordata; Mammalia; Rodentia; Cricetidae
Source: RNAcentral